Caretta caretta (loggerhead turtle) is the source of this 657-nucleotide non-coding RNA. The record is from RefSeq and is a predicted model, not a curated record. NCBI's taxonomy places the organism in Eukaryota, Metazoa, Chordata, Testudines, Cheloniidae.
ACAGUGCAGUCAGCAAAGCAAGUCACUAAAGACAACGGUCACCACACGAGUAAACAGGCAAAGACACUGCAGCUGGGACGAUGGUCGGUCUGCUCAGCGUCAUAGACCAGGGCUCCGAAGACAACGGGAAGAUCAGCGGCCACAUUCUGCAGAACGUACCGUUUCAGCUGCUGUCCCUGAGGAAAACACAUUCUCCUUGGUGACCAGCGGCGUCUUGGGCAGAGGGGCGGCCACCUACAACAUCACUAUAGUUGCCUGUGAUUGCGGCUCCCCUCCCCUAUGCCCUCUAUAGCAGGGGAACCCUCCCAGUGCGCAUUUCUGAUGUAAGUUACAUCACAAGGGGUGGCAGUCACCCCUUCCCCAGGCCAGGAGCCUGAGCCUCAGACUCUUUGGUGUCCCGCCUUGAUCCAGGGCCUGGGCUAAUUGACUGUUUGUUUCCCUGCCAGCCUGAGCACAGGCCUGGGCCCCCAGCUGCAAGUGGAGACUGCUUCGUUCCCCACGGUGGCUGAAGUAUCAUUAACGUAGUGAGGCAGAGUGGCCUCCUGAGGAGCGAGAGUGGGAGUGUCCCCGAUUGAGCCACUACAAUACAUAUAGUAAUUGUAAAGUUCUUCUUUUAGGCUUGUAGCUGUGAUGGAAUAAACUGCUGUCUUAAGUCAA